GUUUAGGAUCUAGAAAACGAUGGAUUUCUACUAUCGUGACGACUCGAUCGAUUUUGUGUUCAUGUUGAUUUUAGACGGUUUUUAUAGAAGUGGAUUGAAAAGUUGGAGCGUUUGGCAGUCCACAGUAGCUUUUGAUGUCCAUAAGUUGAAAGAAUCCCAAACAAACAUGGUCUAUGUCUAUGGAAGAAAAAUGUCCACCAUCGACACCUUAGCUGAGGACACACAAAUGGAGGGUGAAGCAACACCUCACAAAACCUUCACUUUCAUCUCUCACAAUCGAGAGGCCCACAAACAGAAGCAUAAACCAAGUGUGUCACUCUCACCAAUCUAGAAGAGGGGGGAGUAUAGGAGGCGACGCUAAUGAACUUACACCAAUCUACCUCAUAUUUUAGCCUUGUCAUUGUUGGUGCCCUUCUAUUAGCAACCCGUGCACUAAUUAUCGAUAGCAAAAUAGAGAAUUAGCUAGUGUAGGAGCUAAAGAUUUAGUGUUAGCGUCUUCAUCAUCCACCUGGUACUCUUUCUCAAAUCACAC
RNAcentral lists this unclassified non-coding RNA (532 nucleotides) under Zea mays. Its description in RNAcentral is "misc RNA Zm00001eb297480". The record is from RNAcentral. Lineage: Eukaryota; Viridiplantae; Streptophyta; Magnoliopsida; Poales; Poaceae.